RNAcentral lists this non-coding RNA (24 nucleotides) under Chlamydomonas reinhardtii. The record is from RNAcentral. RNAcentral also lists the same sequence under 1 other name. Lineage: Eukaryota; Viridiplantae; Chlorophyta; Chlorophyceae; Chlamydomonadales; Chlamydomonadaceae.
UCGUAUAGUGGUUAGUAUCCCCGC